CCUACGGGAGGCAGCAGUGGGGAAUCUUGCGCAAUGGGCGAAAGCCUGACGCAGCAACGCCGCGUGCGGGAAGAAGGCUUUCGGGCUGUAAACCGCUUUCAGCAGGAACGAAAAUGACGGUACCUGCAGAAGAAGGAGCGGCCAACUAUGUGCCAGCAGCCGCGGUGAUACAUAGGCUUCAAGCGUUGUCCGGAUUUAUUGGGCGUAAAGAGUUCGUAGGCGGUCGAGUAAGUCGGGUGUGAAAAUUCUGGGCUCAACCCAGAGACGCCACCCGAUACUGCUUGACUUGAGUUCGAUAGGGGAGUGGGGAAUUCCUAGUGUAGCGGUGAAAUGCGCAGAUAUUAGGAGGAACACCGGUGGCGAAGGCGCCACUCUGGAUCGAUACUGACGCUGAGGAACGAAAGCAUGGGUAGCAAACAGGAUUAGAUACCCUGGUAGUCCAUGCCGUAAACGGUGGGCACUAGGUGUGGGUUUCUAUUAACGAAAUCCGCGCCGUCGCUAACGCAUUAAGUGCCCCGCCUGGGGAGUACGGUCGCAAGACUAAAACUUAAAGAUAGUGCGNGNGAGUGCGACGAGCACAGGAGGUAG
This 588-nucleotide ribosomal RNA is filed under the name uncultured bacterium. RNAcentral describes it as "bacterial SSU rRNA". It matches the Rfam family "Bacterial small subunit ribosomal RNA", at positions 338 to 941 of the family's 1533-position model. The record is from RNAcentral.